UGUUAGAUGUAUGCCCUAGAAGCCAACAAGGCCGACACAUGUAUUCUUUCUAGGACAUAAUUUUGUAUUUGAUUUUAAAAUAUUAUGAAUAACUUUGGGUUUUUAUUUCCAUUCAUGUUGUGUAUGUGUCCAUGAAUCGUCCAAGGAAUUAAUAAGAUGAUGACAUAUAUUUUCAAGUGUUGAGAAUUUGAGACAUGUGUCAUUGGUGAUUAAUUCCUAAAUGCUCCCGAUCAAUGGAUCAUCACGGGGACGGUGAUUGAUCCAGUGAGAUUGGUGCAUAGGUCGCUUCCCUUUUGGGUAGACGAGUCUCGAGUCGACAGUGUGGGGACACUGAAGCGAAUAUGCAGGUGGUUGUUAGAGAACAAGGGUACCGAGCGUGACCAACGCGAGAAGUCACUUGGAUGUCUACUCACUCGUCAGUGACUUACUCAAUUGUUGCAGUAGUGUGACUGGUCCUUUGACCUGCGGUGCCUCGGCUAUUCACAAUGAGGUUACUGUAGUUUGACUGUACAUACACUUGGUCCCUAGCCAUUCGGGUCCUUGCGGUGCAUGUUGGCUGCAGUAGGUUCAUUGUAGGAAUAGGGUGCGCACUUAGAUGGAAUCUAUCUCCCUUGGUAGAUAGGGGUGUUAGUCCUAUGUGAUUUAUGAGACCGAGUUUAGAAGACCUUGGCCAGGGCAGAAUAAAUAGCGGAAAAGGGUUUCCGAUAUUAGAAACUCGAGUCGAAUAAAUUUAACAUAUGACAGACGAUGGGGUUUGACGAGUUAUUCCAUAACCUCCGUCUAGUCGGGACUCAUGAUAGAAGGAUUGUAUCACACGGUAACUGCACCAAGAGGUUCAUUAUUCCAUUCUACUGGAAUGCCACUACAUGCUGCUAGGCGUCACUGGUGGAUUGUGAGACUCAUGAGAAUUAUCUAGAUGAUCGAUAAUUCUCAUUGGGCUGAGUUGGAAUUGUUCUAAUCCAUUGAAAGGAGUUUCAGUGAUAUUGUUGAUAGUGAUCAAAAUAUAUCUCACUACCAGAUAGAAUAGAACCUAUGGGGUCACACACAUAAGAGGUUGUGAUUGAUCGGAUAGCUAGAUCACGAUUAUUGAAUCGCCGGAGGACCUAAUUAUCAAUUUAAUGAUAAUUAGACUAAUUUGUAAUUGUUACAAAUUAGUGGUAUUAAGGUGUAAAUGUUACAAGAGAGGACUUACUAAUAGUUAGUAAAUUAUAAGAGGACUUAUGUGCAAGUGUUGUAUUAUUAAUUUGAUAAGAUUAAAUUAAUAUAAAAUUCAAAUCGAAUCAAAUUAGGAUUUGAUCGAUGUAACCAAUUAAGGAAAAGAUAAAUUUAAAUAUAGAUUUAUACUUAUCCUUAAUUGUCAUUAUAUUAUUAGGAAUAGGAUUAUAUUCCUAUAUAUAAUAUACGGGAGUUUUUAGAAAACCCUAGCCCGUCAUAUCUCUUCUCCUCUCUUCCAUCUUCUAGCAAAUAGACGUCCUUUUGCAAGGGAGCUAGCACCCCGGUGAGGACAUCGAUCAAAUCAAGAACCUCGUGUGGAUACCUAUAGAGGCCGGACGCGUGUGCGGCUUCAAGAGAACCCGAUUCCACGAUCAUCAAAUUGAGGCAAGGAUUUAUCCGCGAAAAAGGUAAAGAUUCGAUCUUACUUUUCUCCUUUAAUCUUAAAGAACAUGAGGGAUCCUAAUUGCGUGGUUUUGAGAUUAGAUCUCGAGAGUUUUUCAAAAUCAAAUCUGUUUGAUUUCUUUUUCCGCUGCGUUUUACCGUACGCAAUUUUCUAACAAGCCGGACUGAAGGUCAAUCGUAGAAUACACUCGCGACCCCUGCAGCUGAUCAAACAGGUCGUCGAUAC
RNAcentral lists this long non-coding RNA (1843 nucleotides) under Ananas comosus (pineapple). Its description in RNAcentral is "long non-coding RNA (ACOM_LNC034634)". The record is from RNAcentral. Lineage: Eukaryota; Viridiplantae; Streptophyta; Magnoliopsida; Poales; Bromeliaceae.